CCAUUGUCACACUCCAAA
RNAcentral lists this unclassified non-coding RNA (18 nucleotides) under synthetic construct. RNAcentral's name for it is "RNA (5'-R(P*CP*CP*AP*UP*UP*GP*UP*CP*AP*CP*AP*CP*UP*CP*CP*AP*AP*A)-3') from synthetic construct (PDB 7SWQ, chain D)". The record is from RNAcentral. RNAcentral also lists the same sequence under 1 other name.